This is a long non-coding RNA of Salvelinus namaycush (lake trout), 2163 nucleotides long. RefSeq lists it as uncharacterized. The record is from RefSeq and is a predicted model, not a curated record. The transcript has 4 exons. Lineage: Eukaryota; Metazoa; Chordata; Actinopteri; Salmoniformes; Salmonidae.
CUAUAGGUAAUCUAUCUUUCCCUCAACACCUCAUGGCAUGGUAUGUUAUCUUAUCUCGCUGUAUACAGAUCUAAAUGUAGUUAGCCAAUCACAGACUGUGUUGUUGCCAGUAGCCUACAUCAGACAACCAAUAAGAGUUGUGUCCACGGCUUUCAGAGGAGUUCAUGGGUGUUAUUCGGGUUCCUUGGGAUGUACAUUCAGUCGAAUAGAGCAGUUCAUAGACUUUCCCAGAGGGUCCGUGCUAUUCGGGAUCCUUGGGAUGUCCCUACCUCUAUCAAGUAUAAAUGUGAAAUGGUUAAGUUUAGUGUUAGUUAGGGUAAGGACGUCCCAAGGAAUCCGGAUUGCAGUGACCGUUCAUAGACUGAGAGACCUGCACAGUAUUUGAGAGCUCGGCGGCGACACAGACAAGCGGCAGAAGCGAUUUUCGAGUGUUUGCCCCAGAUAGUUCCCUUAGAGACGAUGAAAAGAAUUACCAAGAUGUACUUGAUCCAAUUGAGGAUCAAGAUGUGAUGAGCCAGAGCAACCAAUCAUCUUCACUGCAGCUGCUCAACCCACCACUCUCACUAUUCUCCCUCCACAAGUUUGGAUGAACGGACCAACGGGACUGCCAUGGGCGAGUCCCUUGACGGGUACCAGGAAUUGUAGAAGGACAACCAGAAGGUAAUUAUCUUUGCACACAACAGCAGCGUCCAGGCCUCCAGAGUAUUCACUUUAUCGCCUGCUGUUCAGACGGGAGCCGCAGCUGUUUACUGGGGUUAAACGAUGCAAUUGUAUAUAAAAUUAUUGCCUAUACUGUAGUAUAACAAAUGUGUGAUUGACUUAGUGUUUUUCUAUUGAUAUUUUUGUAUAACGUACUUUGAGAUCACUGAUACUCCACCAGAUGUGGUGGAAGUUGUCGAACCAGAUCAGAACGCCUUCGAGGACCACCUCCAUGCAAGGAUGUGGAGGUUUUUGACCAGGUGAGACUGAACAUGGACAAGGCGCAUGAGAAAAAGGAGAGUCACCGGAGGAGAAUCAAGGGGACCAAAUGCUUCGACAUCUGGGCGAAUGACUUGGCUUGGAAGAAGGACGAAAGGAAGGUGAGACCUGGGAAAGCUUGGUGCUCUUUUGCUCCUAGCUGGGGUCAACAUCCAUUAAGGUGAAUCUAAAGAUCUCAGAUGAUAACUAUUUGCAUUUGCCGCCUCAUGGUGGGCGGCAUUGCCACGUUGUCAGCAGUACCAUCACUGGCCCAGGGAUUUCUCCAAAUAGUCAAUCUCAAGGCUAACCACCACUUCCAGGUAGGUAGUUAAGGUCUAUGACUCCAGUGGUCAUGACAACACCCUGGAGUUUCUCUCACAACUGAUCUCUAUCUUUUCCAGGGACCAUCCCUUACCUCCCUCAUCAACCCCACUGACAUAAAAAAAUUGACAUGUAUCCUUUCUUUUCUGUCUGACAUUAACAUUAUUGCAUGUCUAAUCAAACAGUUAAAUUAAAUCAUUCAAUAACUGUAUUUUGACAUACAUGAUAAUCCUUUGACCUGUGUGUUGGCUUGUUUACGUAUGUCUCUCCUACCUUUUUCCCUUUACUCUGCUCCUGUUCUCCAGGACCUAGGGGUUCUGCCUAACACCCAGACAUGGAUCCACCUGAUGUCCUCCAUAACCAACCACCCUCUAACUUUUCAUUACAUCAGCUACUGUUAUUGUCAUUAUCUGCUAAGAGCAAUAAAACUAUCAUACUGGGCACAUAAUGUGAGAUGCACAGAUUAGCUAAAAACACUAGCACUUCAAACAUUCAGAACAAAGAGGGCAGCAGCGCCUGGACUUUGCCGUUCCCCUCAUCGAGUCCACCUUCCAAGACUGACUACCUGUUAAAAACAUGUGACAGGCAGAACCUCCCAUCCACACAAUACCCAACUCCUCUCUAUUCCACACACUAGAAUUCAGUAUUUCAGUCUAUGAUUACCAUGUGAGUGUACAAAAAUAUCUGAAAGUAAAUUGACACACAUGUACCAAAAAAAUUUGACGUUUAUGUAUUUAAAUCUAAAAUAUUGCCAGAUUGGUUUUCACAGCUGUUUCGUAAGGUUUUCAUUAUUGUAAUGUAUCCCUUGAUGGUAUUUGUUAGUUCAACAUUAUUCAUUGUUGUAUCAUAGGACCUACAAUAAAUAUAUAUUCAACCACAAAGGUG